Molecule: long non-coding RNA, 8207 nt
Organism: Mus musculus (house mouse)
Lineage: Eukaryota; Metazoa; Chordata; Mammalia; Rodentia; Muridae
Product: predicted gene, 38678
Exons: 3
Source: RefSeq, a predicted model, not a curated record
GAGGGGAAAAAGGUACUCACAGCAAAGAGCUCAGAACCAUCCCAUUCUCCAGGAAAGUCGCAGCCUAUUUUUGGAGCCACUAAAGAAAACCCAGCCCUGCUCAUUGAUUUCUUUCUUUAAAGAGAAGUCGGUUUCUGAUCCUUGAAAUGGUGACUAGCAGGCCUCGUGAUGGAGCCUAGGACUGACCCGCCUGAUGCUUUGGUGUGGCAACUGCAGGAACUUGGUACCUGCUCCCCAGGACCAGCCGCCGCCGCUGCUGCUGCUUUGUUAGCUGUUCGCCAAAGAGUAAAUCAGCAUCCUUUCUCAACCCCUUUAUAAGACCCUGCUGAGUUCCUUUACUCUUCAGUGGAAGAGAGGUGCUCCACUUGCCUCUCUGUGUUCCACUGUAGCUUGUUUGGAGGGUCAAAUCUUCUGCACGUGGCAGUAUGUUUGGGGAGGCGCCUUCUGGUGUAUAAAUUACAAGUGCUGGUGAAAGACUGGAGGAAAUUCUCACCAAAUUAACUACCUUUUAAAAAUCAAUAGAUGUUGCCUCAAUGUAAUGCUUGCUGCUGCUCAUUAAAACGCAGCGUGACCAGACGCACGCCGCUUCUGGUCCCGAGUGGGGUGGGGAGACUGAGCUGGGUGCCCCGCCUCUGAUGUGGGCGUCUAUCAAGACAGGAGGAGAUUAGCCUCCAAUUAAAUAUUCCAGAAGGCUUCGGCCCCUCUGCUAGCAGCACGGAAAGAGACCGCAAGAGACACCCACCAAUGAAUGUGACUAUAGCACUGUGCACCCAGGAGGUGGUGGCUGCUCAGGUCCUCAGCCCAGGCAAGGUCCUGUGCUAAGCAAGCCGACCCUGCUGGAGGAAGAGGGUGUGGAAGAAGAAGAGGAUGCAAGCUCCAUCGAGGGAAACACAAUUCCUUCCCUACCAAUUACAGCUCGAAUUCUAAGGUACCCACCCCCUAAUUGUAACCUACCAAGAAAAAGUAAAUGUUUUGAUUCCCUGCCCGAAUUAUGCUGACAUUUUACCUGAAAGGAGCGAUAACUGCAGAGGUGACCCUGGCUCUCUGAAGUCGGAGGCUGUGACCAGAAUAGUACGCCCAGAUUAACAGUUCCUUUGUUUUGCUAGCUUCCCAGCAAACUGGCCUGAGUGAGUCAGAGGGCACCCCCCAGGCUUGAAGCUUAGAAGCCUUUGUUUUUCCCUCCCGAGGGGUGAGUGAAGGAGCUGUCAGAGCCUGCAGGCAUGGAACCCGGGCCCAAAGUCAGGACCCUGGACAGAGCCCCGCAGCCCCGUAGCCUAAUCCUGGUCUCUGUCCCUAAAAAGGCAGCCAAGAUGCUACAGGAUUCCAUGCUGUAGCAAAGAAACAUUCAUAGCGAAUAUUCUGAAGUUUGUGAGAGCGAGAGGCCCCUCCUGGAAUAAAAACCGGCCUAGUCGGGUCGUCGAAAAGAUCAAAACCGUCGUCAAAGAUCAGGUGUUGAUUGGUUUGUUCCUACGUGGCAUGGCACGUGCACACAAGCAUAUAAAAUCGGAAUUUGCGUCCCGGUGGGUGUGACAGGAGUUGGAUCAUUAAGCUAAAACGUUCAAUUCAGUCCCUUUGAUCCGUGCUGGGGAAAAUCUAUAGUCAUCUCUAAUCUACGAGGUCUUUAAGGAGGUUGUUACACUAGCUGUUUGAUGUCGUCAUCUUCCACAUCCGUGGCAAAUUCAGCUAAUCAAACACGCUAGUCCCCAAAGUUCUCUCAAGCAACAGUUCUUACAGAGUAUACCGGUAAAAUCCAUUCUUGGUUUUCUUGUAAAAAAAAAAAAAAAAAAAAAAGGAAAUAUUCAACUCUAAUGGCUGUGGGUAAUUUAGAGGGAGGGAGGUUCCCAAGUGUCUCGCUCCUCCACUUCCAUAGUUAGUGGCAGUCCAGCAUUCUCAGUAAACUGCAUAUAAUGGAGUAUUUAAACACAUGUUCAUUUUCAUAACUCAACCCCAGUGACUUGAAAAUGAAAUAGCCAGUUUCAUUUCAGAGCCUAUUUAAAUACUAAGAUUUCCACAGUUUGAUAAAAUGGAAUGUCGCCUAACUUGGUGGGGUAGCUACAGCAAGAGGAUUUCAUAAAACAAUGCUUGUUAUAGAAUCCAUUUCUAAUAUAUAAAAAAAAAUUCAGCCCAUAUGCACCACCAAUCAUUUUCUGUGUGUUGACACUUGACUAAGACAAGUGUGCACCCUCAGAAGAUAGACAUGUUAUUUCUACAUGGUUCAAUAAGAAGGAACAUCUUAUUUCUAAUGUAAAUGAGUUUGGUAUACAAUCAUACAUUCCAAAUACCACCCAUUUAUGUUUUUUUUUUUUUAAUAAAACAAGUAUAUUCACUCAGAUAAAGCUUACUCUUCCUGAGGUGACAGAUGACUGGGCCAGCCAUGUGACAAUCUUGACUAUUUGAUACAAACAUACAAUUAUUUAUCAGAGUCUCACUGUUCUAUCAUCUACAUAACCUUUCUUCCCAAAGAUGCUAUGAUGGAACAAAUAGCUUCUAAAGCAUUUCUGUUCGUUUAAUUAAUUAAUUAAUUAAUUAAUUUGAUUUAAUAAGACGACAGCUGAGCAGAGCCCAACCCUAGAGGACAAUUCAUCAGGUUUGUCAUACUGACGAAUGAAAAGGGAAUUUCAGUUGUUUGUUCACAUUGUAUUUAUUUCAUGCUGUGGUAGACAUUCCCACUUAAUACUCCCUGUCUAUGCCGAUGGCUCAUAAGUCUUACUAUACGUGGAAAUUACUUAAAGGCCUAAAACAACUAAUGUCUGACUGCGACCCCGUAUAUUUCAGUUUAAUUGAAUGGGGUGUGACCCAGGUUCCCAGGUGAUCUCAUAUGCAUGGAGGUCUUGGAUCCUAUAUAGUGUGUGGUAGUUACUCUGCCUUUCUCUGAUGCUUUCUGUAGUGGGUUAAAUAAUUUGUCUCUAGUCAUCCCACUGGAAUUUACUGAUGCCCUGGACUCGGUUUCCCUAAUUUGGAGGUCCUGGCCAAACAUAUCCUCCACCAAUAACUUGUGUUGCCAGUUCCAGAUCACAAUCAAUACACCCAGAAUGUAAACAUCAUUAUCUCAAGCAUCCGUUUAACAAGGUCUGUGCAUCACGAAGCUCUUGAAAUUAUAGAGUAAAUUUUUUUUUCUUUGAGGCUCUCAAGGAAAGCUUUUGAAACAAUUCCUUCUUCUCAGAUGUACAAGCAAGAUUUCUUUUAAUUGAUCCCCUCCAAAGAAACAGCCAGAGUGGUAACAGAUGUGAAGCCCAUGUCUCUCUAUCCACGUUUUCACUUAAACAAUUAUCGAUAGGCAAGGCCCAUCUCAUUAGAUAUGCUCUGCGGGUAAGCCUGGCCCUCUGGGACCCGUGCCUGCAGAAAGGCCCAAAGGCCCACGGCCACCCGUGCUUCCAAGGCUGACGUUCUCAUAUGCCUUUGGCUCUGUUCUUUCAAAACUUGUUUGUUACCUCAAAUUUAGGACUCUGUGUGUGUGUGUGUGUGUGUGUGUGUGUGUGUGUGUGUGUGCACGCGCACGCACGCACGCACGCACACACACACACUCACACACUCACAGAGAGAGAGCGAGAGAGAGCAAAUUGACAAAAUCUCUGCUUGUAUGUUGGUGAUUGUUUGAGAGCAACUCCGUUCCUGUCACAUACCACGUGCCUGUCACCCCUCUUUCUUCGCAUAUGUCAUGGAGUAAAGAGAACGGGCAGUUUCUGGAAUCAUUCCUUUCUUUUAACAUCUGAUGGUGAUUUCAUGGUCCCAAAGAAAGUUUGUCAGAAGAACACAGCAAAGUAUGUGCUUUUCAUUUGUCUUUUCCUCUUGCCUUCUUAAACAGAUUUGGAGGUAGGGGUGUUAAACAUACAAGCGUGUGAAGCACGCCACCUAGUGGCAGUGGCUCUUACAGCAGGCGCCUUAACGAGUGGAUCAGGAGCUGCUACCGUGAUUCCAAUAUUGAUGGAGUCACAAAAAUCGUUCAUUAAGGCAAUUUAAUCUUUGCUAUUAAAUGUCCUUUCAAUUCAUUUGGGGUAAUUAAGAUGCAGUUAAAGUGAUUAAAUUCUAAUUACUUAUGCCAGAGAAAGACGUAUUUGUCACGCUAAUGCUGUUAGAGGAAGGACUUAGAAAGAAAGUUAACGUUUACUUCAAAUGAUGCAGCUGGAAAAAUCAGUUCCUCUUUUCAUCAUUAAUCUGGUGAGCUGGGCGAUUAUGUAAUGGCACUACAAGAUCAUUAAAUAGGAGAAGUGCUGAUUAAAAUGACUGCCAGGAGGAAAACUUGAACAAGAAGUAACUCAGUACAGUAUAGUCAGCCUCCUUGGGCAAAAUCACUCGGUGUUCAAGCCUCUAAGCCCUCACCCCCAAAGUAAUAAAAACCUGGUAAGCUUUAUCCUCGAAUUGAAAGAGGGGUGGCACACAGAAGGCUUUUAUUAUCAAACCAAAGUCAUUGUUAAAUGUAAACAGUAAAAAAAAAAAUACACAGGGUCUUAUGUAUUCCAGGCUAGUCUUGAACUCACUAUGUAACCAAGGAUCACCUUGAACUUCUGAUCCUCCUGCCUCCACCUCCUGAGUUCUGGGGUGUGCCACCAUGCCCAGUGCUGGGGAUCAAAGCCAAAGCAUUCAAGCAUUUGAGGCAAGCACACAACCAACUCAGCUCCAGCUCCAACCCUGGAGAAACAUCUUAAAGAAUAGUUUAAAUUGGAGUAGAGAAAGCAAGGCAGCUAAGCAGGAGUGGGGAAGCAGAGAAUUCCCAAGGACAACGUAAGCCAGCAUUUGCCCUGUAGGGUGUGGGAGCCACUUCUCACAUGGACUCGAUGCCUGUCACUAAGCAGUCCCUCUCCCCCAGUUUGAUUCUUUUCCCUGCAGUGAGUGGGUCAGAGUCUUUGGCACUAAAUAUCUCUGCUACAAAUUAGUUUUCCGUAUCCCAGUGUAAAGUAGUCUUGCAUUAUAAAGAAGUUCACUGAUGCUAUGCUACCAUAAUCUCACGGCCUCCAGCCCCUUACGAUGGCUUAAUUAUGAGUGUUCAUAAAGGAGAGUAAAUUGAAACUUAAUGGAUUUGAUGUUUGCUUUACACACACACACACACACACACACACACACACACACACACACACAAGCUUUUUAAGGAGAUGCCUCACAUUUUCCCAGGGAAGUGAUCCAAUGAGAUUCACCAAUGUCAUACAUAAUUGAGGGUUAUUUUCCUAAAGAGAUCCAUGUCUUUUAGUAUAAAUAAAUGUGCAUAUUGAAACCAUAAUUGAGGAGGUUGUCUCUGUCUCCUGUUCAUCCCAUUGAAUAUUAUUCCUGUGCACACCAUAAGCAAAGAAGUGGACAUUAUCAAAUUCAUCAGUCAGUUAAGUUAAACAAUUACCUUUAAAAAAAUAAAUCGAUUAUUUGAAUAUUUAAGGUAAUUAUGAAUCACGUCAGGCUGUGUUUUUAAUGUAAUAUUUGUAUUAAUUCUUCCAUAAAUUCAUACUUGACAUCAUGUUGUCCUAAAUUACUAGGAGUGGGCACCUCUGGAUUAGGAAUCAAGUGCCCCAGAGAAAGGUUCAUGCAGCAAGUAUCUCUUAGACCUUGUCAAGUCAUUUAACCUUUCUGAGCCUCUAUCUCCUUAAAUGUAAAGUGAAGGAUUUGACUUUCAGGCUCCAUCCAGGUCUCAUUCUGUCAUUGACUGCCUCCUGUCAUGACUGUGUGCCAUGUGGGCCUUGGCAAAGUCCAGUAGGCACCUAUUUCCAUUCAGUAUCCUGUCCAUCUAUAUUAAGAUUAGAUAAGAUGUGGGGUGCAGGGCUCAGCUAAAUGGCCAUGUCUCCGGCUUGCCUCUCCAGUCAGGUGGUCAGGAGCUAACAGUCCAUGUGACACAAGCUAACAGGGAUAACAUGGAUUGCCAAGGUCUCAUAUACGUUACCUAUGUACUACUGUGUAAUGUAAAUCAGCAUCUUUGCUAUAACAAAUUUGCCAUCAUCAUAUAGCUAUGGGCCCACACAUGUCUAGAAAUCCCACUAUUUUGUAUAAUCCUAAACUCACAGCUUUCUUGGAAAUGUGGAAAAACUGCUCCUGGAACCUUUAAUUCGAAGAACGGAGAAACUAGAUAGCCCAAAUGUAAGCACACAUACAUGAAACAGAAUUUUUUAUAUAAGGCAAAACCUAGAAGCAGACAAGACUAAAUAACUAUGCUUAGAGCCAUAUGGAUACAUAAUAUAAACUCUUUUUUAAAAACACUAAUGGGGCUGGGUGGUGGUGGCACACACCUUUAAUCCCAGUACUUGAGAGGCAGAGGCAGCAAAUCUCUUGAGUUUGAGGCCAGCCUGGUCUACAGAGCUAAAUCCUUUGGUCUCUGACUUGCUCUGUAGCCAAAGCUGGCCUUGAACUUCUGAUCUUCCUGUCUUCACCUCCCCAAUGCUAGGACUACAGGCAUGAGCUACCCAUACCUUUUGUUCUCUGCAGAUUUCUUGGAUCUGAACUACUAUAAACCUGACUGCUUCUCUCUUCUCUCAGCUCAGCAACACCUCCCCACCAGCAACAAGAGCAUCCACCAGGCUCUGGUUUCUGGGAUGAGCAACUGUGAAUAUUAUGGUAGUCAGUCCUUUCCACCCCAGCCAAUUGCUGCCUCUGAGGACACCGGACCCUUAAAGAACCAAUGUAAGGGGCCAAAUACACCCAUCCCUGUUGUUAGAGGAACAAAAAAGUAACACCAAGAACAGGGCGCCAAUCUGUCAGCAACGAUUCUGAGCGAGGAGACUAAGUACAGCCCCUGUACAUGGCAGGCAAGUGUCGGCUCGUCUUGGUCAUGAGUCAGCCUGUGUGUGUGUGGGGGGGGGGGGCAGCACUCUAAACACAUGUUGUUCUAUAAGAAAGAGAAAGAAAAAUCUGUUCUAUCAGAAAAACCCUACUUUCCUUUCAUCUAAUUCUCUUAGUUUGCUUUCUAUUGCUGUGAUGAAACACUGACCAAAGCCAACUUGGGAGCCAGGCACGAUGGCACAGGCCUUUAAUCCCAGCACCCUCUGGGAGUCCAGGCCAGCCCAGAUUAUAUUAAAAAUAAAGACAGAAACAAAACAAAAUAAAACAAAUUAAAAAAAAAAAAACUUUGGGGAGAAAAUGGUUUAUCUUACGGCUUACAGUCCAUCAUGAAAGAAGUCCAAAGGGAGGAACUAGAGGCAGAAACAGAAAUAAAAGCCAUGGAGGGGGGUUGCUUAUUGCUUAACAUUUUCAGCUUGCUCCACCUGCUUUAUUGCAGAACACAGGACCACAUGGGCUGGGCCCUCCCACAUCAGUCAUUAAUCAAGGUAAUUUUAACAGGCUCAUCUGAUGGAUAAAUUUUUUUCUACUGAUAUUCUUUUUCCUACAUGAUCCUAGCUUGUGCCUCGUUCACAAAACUACUCGGCACACCAGUUAUUUGCAUGGUUGUCCCAUGAGCCCUAACCUGAAAACAGGGUCGUUUCCAAUCAAUAAGUAUUUAUUUUAAUACAUGUCAUAUAACCAUAAUUUUUAAAAAGUUAAAUAAUCAGUAGGCAUACAAAGUUUUCUUCCCAAGCCACUCUCCUGUUAUUAAGUUUGUCAAGGUUCCUUUGUGUGUUUCAAGUACUCUCUACUAAAUUUAAUAAUAUAGAAUUUUAGAUUUCAAUAUUACCAUCCCAUCAGGAAUAGGUUGGAAGAAAAUUCACACAUGAAAGGGUCGGUUAUCUGUAUAGGGUUUGGGAGGAGGGCGGGGCUGAAGCCUGGGAGGAAGGAACUUCUAAAACCUGAUUCUUCUGUACUCUCCAGAAAUAACCUAUGGCUUUAAAAGCAUGUGAAUGUGUGUGUGUGUGUGUGUGUGUGUGUGUGUGUGUGUGUGUGUGUGUGUGUUUUGUGUAGGGUGGAUGGUCUCCUUUGUAAAUAACUAAAGGUUUUUUUAUUUCCCAAACUGUACAUUUCUAGGGAAAAUGGAGAAUGCUUCUUGCUUUAAUUUUUUGGCUGACAGUUGCUGCUCUAGAAAUACUUGUUUUCACAUUGGGCAAUGUGCCAGUGUGGUAGGGCGAGUGACAGGUAGAGAAACAGUACAGGCCAGCCAUGUCCUAGGGAGGUGGAAAGCGGCCCCAACUUCAAUGGAGGUUCCUUAUUUCAAGUCACCUUUGAAAAGUGACUCGGGGGCUGGAGAGAUGGCUCACAGUGUAAGAGAGCCUGCUGCUCUUGCAGAGGAGUUUGACUUCCCGCACCCAGGUCAACUGACUCAUACAGUCACGUGUAACUCUAGCUGCAGGGAAUCUAAUGCC